AUUUUUCUGUGGAGUGGGCAGCUGACCUCCCUCAUCACAAAGUGCAGAGGAAGCCUGGGUAGUGUUCAGUGGUUUUAUUGUUAUGUCUGUACUCUCUUCUAUCCCAGAGGCAGACUCAUUCUGAGUGUUAUGGGGGAUCUGAUGUACAUCUGUGUAAUGGUCAACCUGCUGAGGGGUUAUUGUGACCCUACUUUCCUUGAGCUCCUCCUUCUGUCUCUCUUCCUCCAGUCUCUCCUUCUCCUCUCUGAGCAUGGCCAGUUCAUCUCUACAGUGCUGCAGUUCCUGUCCCUGCCUGACGCCGCUGCCCUCCGUCUCCUGCAGCUUUGCCAGCAGCUCCUGGAUGUGUCUGCUCUGGUGGUCGAAGGCCAGGGUCAGCUGCUGGGUCUGCCUGGUUACCUGGCUCUGUCGAACCACCAGCUUGGCCUGGGUCUGUCUGGCUCGCCCAGCCUCCUCUCCCCACCCAGAUGCUCCACCUCCUGGGCUAGCUCUGAGGCAGAGAGGCCUCUACUCUGGAGCUCCAUGGUGGUUUCAGCCUGGUCUGAGGGAGACACACCCCUCUGGGCCUCCACAAUGGUCUCUCCCUCAAUAAUAGGUCUGGAGAGAUCUGGAGCUUUGGUCAGAGUUCCAUAUUCCUGGAUCAGAUCAGCUGUUGUUGCUGUUGCCUGGGAGACAACAGUGUUCUGUGGGUUGGGAUUCUCACACAGGAGAUGGUAGUAGCUUGUAGUCAGGGACAACGGUGUUGUUGUUGGAGUUAGAGGUGAUGUCAUGGUGCAGGGUGAGAUAUGUCAGAGAGGUGUUUUUAUCUACCAUGUUCUUCACUUCAAGACGUCCACGGUUCUUCAGUUCCUUCAACUCUGCCUGGAGCUCUUCCAGCUUCACAAGUCUGUGGAUCCAAACAGAGUGAUGUGCUCCGAGUCAAUGCCCUCGCCAGGCUCUCGCUCUGUGGGGUACUUUGCUCUCUGUCCCUUGUUCCCUCUCUCCUCUCGCUCCUCCCUCGUUUGUUCCCCUCUAGCAGGUCUGUUGGUCUGAGCCGAGGUUGUGCGUGGGGUGGUGUGGCCAUGUCGUGGUUGUGAGACCGGGGCAAAGCUCUGUCCGGCAGGGCUAAACGGGACUGGAGCCAUUGGAGCAGCAGUGGGUUGGACCGUCUUCUGAUCUGGAAAGAGGAAUAGGGAAACAAACAAGAGAAAGAAGAAAUGAUCAACAAAAUGACUUAUUAUCAUUCAAACUGCCAUGUUAAAUCAACAAAAGGUUAAUCAUUUGGAUAAUCAACCAAAUAGCCGGGUGUAAUACCGCUGAAAGUCAACAGGUGGCAGCAGUAACAAGAAUAACAGCUUGUGCAGCUCAAAGGAAAUGAGUGACAACAGUUUGGUGUAGGAAUGAUGUCACGCUUUUGUUAAGUCAAACACGUCCUGUUCAAAUUUCCUAACAUUGAACAGACAACAGCACUGUCUAUCGUCUCUAGUCAUAAAGGAUAAACAACCCAUUAUCAACAACAGUCCUCUUUCCUCCCGCCUCCUCACCUUCUAGUUCUUUGAUGCAUCUGAGGGCCUCUGCCAGCUUCUUCACCUCCUCCUCCAGUCCUGUCUCUCUCCUCCUGUUCUGCUCCAGUGUUACAUUCAGCCCCUCCCUCUCACACAGUGACUCCUAUAGGACAGCAACAGGAGAGAAACAACACAUAUUCAUGAAGUCAAUAACUAUGUAAUAACUAUGUAAUAACUAUGUAAUAACUAUGUAAUAACUAUGUAAUAACUAUGCAAUAUCAACUACAUAAACGUUUAAUAACCAACCUAUUCUUUAUAUAACAGCAGACAAUUCUAUAGCAAUAACCUAUGGACUAAAUGAUUCAGUGACUUCAUAAUGCGGCCACAGCCUAGUUCAUGCAUAAUAGAUUGACAUGUCCAGACCAAGGACACAAGAGUCUGUCCGUCUGUAGCUCAUAAUUGUAUGUGUAUACCGUUAGUUUGGUUUGUGUUUGGGCCUCUUUCUUCUGGCUCUCCUUCAGUUCACCCUCAGUCCAUUUGACUUUCUCUUUCAAAGCGUCUGUAUCCCUCUCCAUCGCCUGCUUCUGAAGGGUCAGCUGGUAGAGAGACAGGAACUCCAUCAUGGAGGAAGGAAGCACUAAGGAAAAGGUGGGGACCGGGGAGGACUAUGAGAAGAUCACAUAUAAAAGGAAGUUGAAAAAUGGACUCUUGAGAAAAGGGAAGGGUGGGAGGGGAGUAGACGCGGGAAAGCAACAAACAGGGUCUCUAUCUAAAGGACAGGUCCUGUCGUAAACAUCUGUCUGAUGAAUCAGCCACGCCACAUGCAGUUACCUACACAGCAGAGACAGAAGGGGAAACUAUCAAAGCCAUCAGAUACAUAUUAAACAUGAUCAAAUCCUUUUUGCUUACAUGAGGUAACACAUUCAAACAUUUGGAUACACUUCCAUGCCAUGAAUAAAAACAACAGAUGAAAUCCC
Molecule: long non-coding RNA, 2458 nt
Organism: Oncorhynchus kisutch (coho salmon)
Lineage: Eukaryota; Metazoa; Chordata; Actinopteri; Salmoniformes; Salmonidae
Exons: 2
Source: RefSeq, a predicted model, not a curated record